Long non-coding RNA from Myxocyprinus asiaticus (Chinese sucker), 952 nucleotides. RefSeq lists it as uncharacterized. The transcript has 3 exons. The record is from RefSeq and is a predicted model, not a curated record. NCBI's taxonomy places the organism in Eukaryota, Metazoa, Chordata, Actinopteri, Cypriniformes, Catostomidae.
ACGGCACGCUGCACGAGUGUUUGUAGCUUGCUAGCCUGCUUAGCACUGCUUAUUCUUAUUCUUAUAUGUUCAUCAUUUUAUCCUUUGCCAUUUUACUGCCUGGUUCAGGGAUUAUUGCAUCAAUCUCAAACAUCUGCUAAUUAGGAACCACAUCGAUCUCUAACCUUCGCUGCUUAAGAACAACCACAACAGCAACAAACAAUUGCGGAGGUUACCAGAGCCAGCCAGAUCCAGCUCCGCUCCUGUUUGGUGUCAGACUCCACUGCUACAUGUCGCUGAAAGAUGACGACAAACUACAGCCGGUGCCAGCCAGACAUCACUUCAGUCUUUUGACUUAAGAGGAUGAACUGAUGCCAACUCCAACUGUAUGACAUGGGAUACUUCAUAUGCUACUGCCUGAACCUUGGAUUUAGGAUAUACCCCACCUACACUCUUGAAAUGGAAUACAUAGACUAUCAUUUAAUUGCCAACAAAAGCCUUCAUCAGCCAACUAACAAAGGACAAUGCAUCUAUGCGAACUUCUGCAGUUAAUUGAGGAUGGACUUCAAAGACAUUAGUCAUUAAUCUUAAAGUUAUUAUUUUUUAUUAUUUAUUUUAUUUUUUUAAAUUUAAACAAUGGGCCUUAAUGCUUAAUUUACAAAUUUAAAACCAUGACUUGCACUGCACAAAAAUAACUAAUAUUGGCAUUAUAUUCAUGCUGUUAGCCAGAGGGCAACUGACCCCCACAGUGAGCCUGGUUUCUCCCAAGGUUAUUUUUCUCCAUUAACCAACAUCUUAUGGAGUUUUGUGUUCCUUGCCACAGUCACCUUCAGCUUGCUCACAGGGGUUCUAAAUACAAUUAUUAUUUAAUUAUUUAAUUUCUAUACACAAUUUACAAUCAUAUGUAAUCAAACUACACAAUGAUCACUCUAAGACUUUAUAGAUAUUACAGUUUCAUUUUUUGUUAAUGCAA